UAAUACAGAGGGUGCGAGCGUUAAUCGGAAUUACUGGGCGUAAAGCGCGCGUAGGCGGCUUUGCAAGUCGGGUGUGAAAUCCCCAGGCUUAACCUGGGAACUGCAUUCGAGACUGCAUUGCUAGAGUAUGGGAGAGGGAAGUGGAAUUUCAGGUGUAGCGGUGAAAUGCGUAGAUAUCUGAAGGAACAUCAGUGGCGAAAGCGACUUCCUGGACCAAUACUGACGCUCAUGUGCGAAAGCGUGGGGAGCAAACAGGAUUAGAUACCCUGGUAGUCCACGCCAUAAACGAUGACAACUGGAUGUCGGGAGGGUUUGCCUCUCGGUGUCGUAGCUAACGCGUUAAGUUGUCCGCCUGGGGAGUACGGCCGCAAGGUUG
Molecule: ribosomal RNA, 376 nt
Filed under: uncultured bacterium
Lineage: Bacteria
Description: bacterial SSU rRNA
Rfam family: Bacterial small subunit ribosomal RNA
Source: RNAcentral